GAAACUUUACACAAUGCUGCACAGGGUGGGAGUUACCAUUUUUCUCACUCUAUACAGCAGAAAAAUCUAAAUGUGACAACAAACUGACAAUAUCACCCUGCAAAAAUAAUUCUCUGCUGUACUACUACUGUAAGAGACAUUGCCAAACAAACUGAGGAUACGAUUCCAUGUUUGCCGAUUCUGUCCUGGGCUGCCAAUCAUGAAUAACAAAGGGUUGAAACUAGAGACAGGAGUAGCAGUGGUCAUGUCAGUCUGUUGAUAUUAAAUAAAGCAUUACAGGUCAUGUCAAGAGCAUUGUGAUGAAGGAUUGCCAUAGGCUGAAUUGAGAGACUGGGCUAAAAAGUUUAGUCCCAAUGUAGAAGAUUUAUUUUCUUAAAAAUUCUAACUUAACAAAAAAUACUUGAGUCCUUUUAGCUCUUUGUAGAGCAAAGGCACAAAAAUAACAAAAGCAAUAUUUUCUCAAUCCUGACAAACAAUAUAGUACUGCUGACUAACAAAUGCAAUAUGUUCUCCAUCCUGACAAACAGUAUACUACUGCUGACUAACAAAAGCAAUAUGUUCUCCAUCCUGACAAACAGUAUACUACUGCUGACUAACAAAAGCAAUAUGUUCUCAAACCUGACAAUGUACUAAUGCUGACUAAAAAAAACACAAACACAUGUAGCUUACUGGGUUUAAACCAGUGAAGCAUGUUGAAAGAAUAACAAUUUUAACUUUACCUUUCCGUUUGACUUCAAAAUCAUCAUCAAAUCAAAGUUUAUUGGUCACGUACACAGAUUUGCAGGUGUUAUGGCAGGUGCAUGUAAAAUAUUGUGUUACUAGCUCCAACAGUGCAGUAGAAUGUCUCGCAAAUACAAUUCAAAUACACAAUCAUGAAAACAAUCCAAACAACAAAUCAAGAAAUAGCCAUCCUAGUAGAUCAUCAUCAUUCUAGUAGUAAGUUUAUUAGAACAGGGGAGUGUGGUAGUAAGUUUAUUAGAACAGGGGGUGUGGUAGUAAGUUUAUUAGAACAGGGGGUGUGGUAGUAAGUUUAUUAGAACAGGGGAGUGUGGUAGUAAGUUUAUUAAAACAGGGGGUGUGGUAGUAAGUUUAUUAGAACAGGGGGUGUGGUAGUAAGUUUAUUAGAACAGGGGGUGUGGUAGUAAGUUUAUUAGAACAGGGGGUGUGGUAGUAAGUUUAUUAGAACAGGGGGUGUGGUAGUAAGUUUAUUAGAACAGGGGUGUGGUAGUAAGUUUAUUAGAACAGGGGAGUGUGGUAGUAAGUUUAUUAGAACAGGGGGUGUGGUAGUAAGUUUAUUAGAACAGGGGGAGUGGUAGUAAGUUUAUUAGAACAGGGGGAGUGGUAGUAAGUUUAUUAGAACAGGGGGUGUGGUAGUAAGUUUAUUAGAACAUGGGGAGUGUGGUAGUAAGUUUAUUAGAACAGGGGGAGUGGUAGUAAGUUUAUUAGAACAGGGGAGUGUGGUAGUAAGUUUAUUAGAACAGGGGGUGUGGUAGUAAGUUUAUUAGAACAGGGGGUGUGGUAGUAAGUUUAUUAGAACAGGGGGUGUGGUAGUAAGUUUAUUAGAACAGGGGGUGUGGUAGUAAGUUUAUUAGAACAGGGGGAGUGGUAGUAAGUUUAUUAGAACAGGGGAGUGUGGUAGUAAGUUUAUUAGAACAGGGGGUGUGGUAGUAAGUUUAUUAGAACAGGGGGGUGUGGUAGUAAGUUUAUUAGAACAGGGGGUGUGGUAGUAAGUUUAUUAGAACAGGGGGAGUGGUAGUAAGUUUAUUAGAACAGGGGAGUGUGGUAUAAGUUUAUUAGAACAGGGGAGUGUGGUAGUAAGUUUAUUAGAACAGAGGGUGUGGUAGUAAGUUUAUCAGUAGAGGGGGUGGGGUAGUAAGUUUAGCAGAAC
RNAcentral lists this long non-coding RNA (1888 nucleotides) under Salmo salar (Atlantic salmon). RNAcentral's name for it is "lncRNA (ENSSSAG00000093566.1)". Lineage: Eukaryota; Metazoa; Chordata; Actinopteri; Salmoniformes; Salmonidae. The record is from RNAcentral.